AUUGAACGCUGGCGGCAUGCCCUACACAUGCAAGUCGAACGGUAACAGGUCUUCGGAUGCUGACGAGUGGCGAACGGGUGAGUAAUACAUCGGAACGUGCCCGAUCGUGGGGGAUAACGAGGCGAAAGCUUUGCUAAUACCGCAUACGAUCUACGGAUGAAAGCGGGGGAUCUUCGGACCUCGCGCGGACGGAGCGGCCGAUGGCAGAUUAGGUAGUUGGUGGGAUAAAAGCUUACCAAGCCGACGAUCUGUAGCUGGUCUGAGAGGAUGAUCAGCCACACUGGGACUGAGACACGGCCCAGACUCCUACGGGAGGCAGCAGUGGGGAAUUUUGGACAAUGGGCGAAAGCCUGAUCCAGCCAUGCCGCGUGCAGGAUGAAGGCCUUCGGGUUGUAAACUGCUUUUGUACGGAACGAAAAGCCUCUUUCUAAUAAAGAGGGGUCAUGACGGUACCGUAAGAAUAAGCACCGGCUAACUACGUG
RNAcentral lists this ribosomal RNA (482 nucleotides) under uncultured bacterium. Its description in RNAcentral is "partial 16S ribosomal RNA". It matches the Rfam family "Bacterial small subunit ribosomal RNA", at positions 30 to 507 of the family's 1533-position model. The record is from RNAcentral.